Molecule: transfer RNA, 71 nt
Filed under: Marmota monax (woodchuck)
Lineage: Eukaryota; Metazoa; Chordata; Mammalia; Rodentia; Sciuridae
Description: tRNA.Ala
Rfam family: tRNA
About the family: Transfer RNA (tRNA) molecules are approximately 80 nucleotides in length.
Source: RNAcentral
GGGGUUGUGGCUCAGUGGUAGAGUGCUCACCUAGCAUGUGCGAGGCCCUGGGUUCAAUCCUCAGCACCACA